GCUGGCAAUUUAACAAAUUAAAUUUGUAAAAUAUGUAAUUUGUGUCAAUUUUAAUUCCUUUUUAGGAUAAAACAGUGCCAAUGUUUUCAUGAAAGGGAGUAAGACUUGUGGUAUAAUAUACCUUAAAUACAAGUUAGCAUUACAGCUUGUACUUACAGAUUGAUGUUGGCUAUUAGGGUAUACUUUUAAAGAUAACAAUUACCGUGGCUGAAGGAUAUAAUUAUGUGAUUAAUUACUCCUUAAAGAUUAUGUGAAUGUUCUUAACAUGUUGACAGCUGAGCACUCUCUCUUCACAAGACAUCAGAUUUAAAAUCCCCAUUCUGACACUGGACAUGACUGCUGAUUUGUAUAUCCUGCACUACCAAACGGAGGCCUUACAUUUGCAAGAAUUUUACUGCCAGUCUGUAGAAGACCAAGA
This is a long non-coding RNA of Mytilus trossulus (common blue mussel), 418 nucleotides long. RefSeq lists it as uncharacterized. The record is from RefSeq and is a predicted model, not a curated record. The transcript is spliced from 3 exons. NCBI's taxonomy places the organism in Eukaryota, Metazoa, Mollusca, Bivalvia, Mytilida, Mytilidae.